AAGUUCACGAGUUCAAGAUAUAAGAGGAUUCAACCUGAGUUCAUGAGUUCAUGGUAUUGUAUAGAAUGAUUUACAAUACCUUGCAGCAUUUAAACUGAGAAAUUCAAUCUUUCCAAAGAAUUAUUGAAUUGGACUAUCACAUUUUAAUUAAAACCAAGGUUAGGCAGCUGAUCAGUUCUGCACUAACCCCGAGCAGGCCCCGCCAUGCUCUAUCACUGGAUCCAAGGCACUCAUUGGCCUAACAUGACCACUCAUCUGGUCCACAGGUUUAUAUAAAAACAAUAAUCCAAUUCUCUAAUUCAAUUCAA
Molecule: long non-coding RNA, 308 nt
Filed under: Daucus carota (carrot)
Lineage: Eukaryota; Viridiplantae; Streptophyta; Magnoliopsida; Apiales; Apiaceae
Description: long non-coding RNA (DCAR_LNC007106)
Source: RNAcentral